UUACAGCUGCCUGAAAUUAAAGGGUAGUUUUGAUAGAACUAAUUAUGUAAAUCCUUACCUAUAUU
Molecule: transfer RNA, 65 nt
Filed under: Huananpotamon lichuanense
Lineage: Eukaryota; Metazoa; Arthropoda; Malacostraca; Decapoda; Potamidae
Description: tRNA-Ile
Source: RNAcentral